Ziziphus jujuba (common jujube) is the source of this 2671-nucleotide long non-coding RNA. RefSeq lists it as uncharacterized. NCBI's taxonomy places the organism in Eukaryota, Viridiplantae, Streptophyta, Magnoliopsida, Rosales, Rhamnaceae. The record is from RefSeq and is a predicted model, not a curated record. The transcript is spliced from 5 exons.
CCCCCUGACCUUCACGAGGCGAUGAUGAUGGCUGAGGAAUCGGACUCCACCACCAAGACGACGACGAUGUCCAAAGGGCAAGACCACCCAGAUCACUAAGGAAUUCGUACCCAUGCCCCUUCUUGUACAUACUGCUGGCGAAGAGCUUUGGGGCAGAGAACAAACUGGAGCCAGAGAGAAAAACCCAGUUGGCCAAGAAAGCUAGGACUGCACCUCUAACAGGUUGCUGUUUAUCUCUCUUUUGUUAUUAUUUCAUUAUCAAAGAUGUGGCUUAGGAUUCCAUUGGUGAAGACUAAGGAUGACUGCAUGCAUGCAAGCUCUUAUCGUUUGGAUAGUAGAGAUUUGCAAUCUUGUGUUCCCUCCAUUGAGAUUUCAAGAAAUUGAUUGACGUACAAUUUGGAACGGGUUUCUUAACAGUGGGGUUCAAAAUCCCUUGUUGCUGUAUGGUUGAGUGCUGAGAUGUCCUGGUCGUGUUAGAAAUUUGGCUUCACCUGUUCUCCGAGCACAUUUUGACAACUGUUUCCCGAUGAGAUUGUCGACAUCUGCUUAAUGCUUCUAGGCUGCAUACAAAUUAGAAAAUAAGGUUUGGGGCUGUAUAACAAAGUUUGUAAUGAGAACUCUGUUUAAUAAAAUAAAUAUGAAAUUUUGGGUGUUUGGGUGAAGAGAAACUCUCGGGCAUUGCCUGAGGUUCUCUUCCCUCUUGAGUCUUGUGUGGGAUGGUGUGUUGUGUGUGGCUCUCUUCUUUGUCUCUCAUUUGCCUUCCUCCCAUUUCAAUCUUUUUUUCUUUUCCCGCGCCAAUUUCACACUUUGCAUUUUGUUUCUGCAUUUUCCUCUCCUCUCUCUCUGUAUCCUUUCUUGCUUGACUUUAUUUUCUCUAUUUUCUCUUUUUUGUUAUCUCUUUACUUUUUCUCACUACUUUUUCUUUAUACAUUUUUCCCAUUUUUUCUCUCUCUUUUCUUUCUCAAAAACACUAUCUACUUUCUUUCUAGUAUUCUACUCUGUUUCUUUUUUACUUUCUCUUGCUGCAUUUUUUCUCUCACUUUUUCUUCCAUCUUUCUCUUAUUAAUUUCUCUAUGCACUUUAUUUCUAGUUUGCUUUCAAAAAUUAUUUAUUCCAUAUGCUGUCAAUGCUUAGUUUUGAUGUCCUUAAAAAGUUUAAAUAUAGAAAAGUAACUAUUAAUAUAAUAUAUACAAAAUAAAAUAUAUAAAUAUUAAAAAACCAACCCGUAAACAAGUAAGAAAUUAUGAAGACAAUUUAAGUAAACGAAGCAUGCAAUAAAAAUUUAUAAGAAUUAAAAAGACAGUUUUUUUUUUUUUAAGUGUAAAAUUUUUUGAAAAAGACAACUAAUGAAAAUUUUUUUUUUCAAAUUUAACUAAAAAACAAUGAAAGUAAAAAAAUAAAAAAAUAAAAAAAAAUAAAAAAAACGAAAUCUUAGAAAGUGAAGAAACUAGUAAGCCGACAACUAGAUGUUAAGAAAGCUUAGAAACUAGUAGCUGAAGUAAGAAAUCAAUUUUUGAUAUUGUUUGGAAAUGAAUUUUGGAAAUUUUUAAUAUAUAUUUUUAUUCUUUCAUUAAAAUUUUUUUUAAGAAAUUGAAGAAACUAAAACCCGUAAACUACAUGUUAAGAAAGAUAAAAAAAAGUUAAGAAACUAGUUGCUUAAAUAAGAAAUCAACAAAAUUUUGAUAUUUUUUUUAAAAAAAAAUGAAUAUUGAUAAAUUGUAAUAUAUAUUUUGAUUCUUUCAUUAAAGAAACUUAUAUAUUUUAUUUUAUUUUUGAAGGAAAAAUACUUGUAUAUUUUGAAACAUAUUCUAAUUUAAUAUAUUUUGAAUUUUAAUAUGACAAAAACCUUGGGUAAAUUCUUUUAUUAUAUGUAAUAAUAAUUAACAAAUAAUAUUACCUUAAAAUAUGAAUAGGAAACUAAAAUUUAUCUUGAAAAAACAAUUAUUGGAUAAAAGACUUGUUAUUUUCAAAAUAAAUAAUUAAAUAAAAGACUUGCUAGAUAGUUACUUUUAGUAAUUUGCUAAAUAAAUACAAAUGUACUAUAACCUUUUUUAAUUUAGUCCAGGAGAAUACUUAACGGUAAUUAAUUGAUAUAAUUAAGGACAUCAAGUAGGAUCAUAUAAGAAAGUAUUGAUAUAGCUUGUGGAAUUGUUGACUUUGUGGCAAUUGCCAAUUGUAGACAGCAACUAGAAUAAGGAGAUAGAAUAAUUAGAAAGAGAAUAUAGUGGAAAAAGUGUAGAGAGAAAAAGUAGAAAUAGAAGGUUUAAAAAGAUAAUAAGAGAUUAGAGUCUAUGGAGAAAAUAGUAGAAGCGUAGAGAAAGUGUAGAUGGAGAAAUUAGUGGAAGGUGUAAGACAAAGUGGAGAGAAAUGUAAAUAAGAGAGAAUUUAAAAGAGAGAGUGGAGACAAAAUUUAGAUGGAGAAGAUGGUGCAAGGGAGAAAGUAAAGAGAAGGUACAGUUGAUAAAAGUAGAGAUAGAAUGCAGAAAAGUAAAGAAAUGGAGGAAAAUAGAGAGAAAAAAAUGGGGAGAGAAAGUAAGUAGAUAGAUAAAGAUAGAAGAGAGAAAAAGUACAGAGUUAAAAGGAAGAGAGGGGGAGUUUUCGAUUUUUAUUUUUUUUAAAGGAUAUGUAUGAUUUACAUUAAUCAUUGUAAAUUCAUUUGCAAUAAUUAUUG